CAACCUGUUACCGCGGACGUACCGCGUAACAGAAACCGGGUUCAUCGGUAACGGGAACCCG
Molecule: small RNA, 61 nt
Organism: Pseudomonas aeruginosa PAO1
Lineage: Bacteria; Pseudomonadati; Pseudomonadota; Gammaproteobacteria; Pseudomonadales; Pseudomonadaceae
Rfam family: Pseudomonas sRNA P36
Source: Rfam